This 232-nucleotide ribosomal RNA is filed under the name uncultured bacterium. RNAcentral's name for it is "partial 16S ribosomal RNA". It matches the Rfam family "Bacterial small subunit ribosomal RNA", at positions 103 to 334 of the family's 1533-position model. The record is from RNAcentral.
CCGGGUGAGUAACACGUAUCCAACCUGCCGUCUACUCUUGGACAGCCUUCUGAAAGGAAGAUUAAUACAAGAUGGCAUCAUGAGUUCACAUGUUCACAUGAUUAAAGGUAUUCCGGUAGACGAUGGGGAUGCGUUCCAUUAGGUUGUUGGUGAGGUAACGGCUCACCAAGUCUUCGAUGGAUAGGGGUUCUGAGAGGAAGGUCCCCCACAUUGGAACUGAGACACGGUCCAA